UACGUAGGGCGCAAGCGUUAUCCGGAAUUAUUGGGCGUAAAGAGCUCGUAGGCGGUCUGUCGCGUCCGUUGUGAAAACUCGAGGCUCAACCUCGGGCUUGCAGUGGAUACGGGCAGACUAGAGUGCGGUAGGGGAGACUGGAAUUCCUGGUGUAGCGGUGAAAUGCGCAGAUAUCAGGAGGAACACCGGUGGCGAAGGCGGGUCUCUGGGCCGUAACUGACGCUGAGGAGCGAAAGCGUGGGGAGCGAACAGG
Molecule: ribosomal RNA, 253 nt
Filed under: uncultured bacterium
Lineage: Bacteria
Description: partial 16S ribosomal RNA
Rfam family: Bacterial small subunit ribosomal RNA
Source: RNAcentral